RNAcentral lists this long non-coding RNA (606 nucleotides) under Equus caballus (horse). Its description in RNAcentral is "lncRNA (ENSECAG00000048309.1)". Lineage: Eukaryota; Metazoa; Chordata; Mammalia; Perissodactyla; Equidae. The record is from RNAcentral.
CCUCCAGGGGCCUGCAGGGCUGUCCUUGUAAAGGAUCCUGUCUUCGGUUUAAAGAACUCAGUGUGCCCACGUACAAUUACAUAUGCAACAUUUGUGAACAACAUAUUCUCAAACCCAAGUCCACGCAUCUGAGGUCAGCAAUGCCAGCUAACCCUCACACAGGGCCUCCCACCUGCCAGGCACUGCGCGAAGCUCUUCAACUGUAUCAGCUCAUUUAAUCCUUCAACAACUGUAUUACAAGCUUGUCCAUGAAGGAGGUUGUUAUUCCCGUUCCUCAGAGAGGAGACGACACUCAAAGAGCUGUCAAGCUGGCAGCCCAGUGUUUCGUUGGUUCCAAUCCCAGGCGCGGACGUGGCACUGCUCAUCAAACCACGCUGAGGCAGAGUCCCACAUGCCACAACUAGAAGGACCCACAACAAAGAAUAUACAACUAUGUACCAGGGGGCUUUGGGGAGAAAAAGGAAAAAAAUAAAAUCUUUAAAAAAAAAAAAAAGUCACCAUGGCUAAUCUCCAGGUGUUAGAUUAUAGCUAAUUUGUACUUUCUUUUUCACACAUUUUUUGUAUUAUCCAAGUUGUUGACAAUGAGAUUAUAUUACUUUCAUAACC